GACGAACGCUGGCGGCGUGCCUAAUACAUGCAAGUAGAACGCGCAGUUUAUACCGUAGCUUGCUACACCAUAGACUGUGAGUUGCGAACGGGUGAGUAACGCGUAGGUAACCUGCCUGGUAGCGGGGGAUAACUAUUGGAAACGAUAGCUAAUACCGCAUAAUAUUAAUUAUUGCAUGAUAAUUAAUUGAAAGGUGCAAUUGCACCACUACCAGAUGGACCUGCGUUGUAUUAGCUAGUAGGUGAGGUAACGGCUCACCUAGGCGACGAUACAUAGCCGACCUGAGAGGGUGAUCGGCCACACUGGGACUGAGACACGGCCCAGACUCCUACGGGAGGCAGCAGUAGGGAAUCUUCGGCAAUGGACGAAAGUCUGACCGAGCAACGCCGCGUGAGUGAAGAAGGUUUUCGGAUCGUAAAGCUCUGUUGUAAGAGAAGAACGGGUGUGAGAGUGGAAAGUUCACACUGUGACGGUAUCUUACCAGAAAGGGACGGCUAACUACGUG
Molecule: ribosomal RNA, 505 nt
Filed under: uncultured bacterium
Lineage: Bacteria
Description: partial 16S ribosomal RNA
Rfam family: Bacterial small subunit ribosomal RNA
Source: RNAcentral